UACGGGGCUUAAUGUCUUGUAAUUGGAAUGAUGGGAAUUUAAACCUCUUCCAGAGUAUCAAUUGGAGGGCAAGUCUGGUGCCAGCAGCCGCGGUAAUUCCAGCUCCAAUAGCGUAUAUUAAAAUUGUUGCAGUUAAAAAGCUCGUAGUUGAAUUUCUGCUGCAUUGCAUUUGCUCCUUGACGAGUGUCUGUAUUGCGGCUUAUUUCGGAUUAUGCUUGCAUUUUCCGGAUGUUUACUUUGAGAAAAUUAGAGUGCUCAAAGCAGGCUUUUGCCUUGAAUAGUUUAGCAUGGAAUAAUAAAGUAGGACUUUGGUUCUAUUUUGUUGGUUUUAGGUACCAAAGUAAUGGUUAAUAGGAACAGUUGGGGGCAUUCGUAUUUA
This 379-nucleotide ribosomal RNA is filed under the name uncultured Theileria sp. RNAcentral's name for it is "SSU rRNA". It matches the Rfam family "Eukaryotic small subunit ribosomal RNA", at positions 484 to 900 of the family's 1831-position model. Lineage: Eukaryota; Apicomplexa; Aconoidasida; Piroplasmida; Theileriidae. The record is from RNAcentral.